This 463-nucleotide long non-coding RNA is filed under the name Vigna radiata. RNAcentral describes it as "long non-coding RNA (VRAD_LNC008248)". The record is from RNAcentral. Lineage: Eukaryota; Viridiplantae; Streptophyta; Magnoliopsida; Fabales; Fabaceae.
UUCAGGGAGGGGAUGUGAUGUUGAUGGAGAUGAGCUUUUGUGUUGAGUAGGUCGAAAAAUGCAUGAAACUGUGUUUACAUAAUUGAUUUGAAGAGGAAAUAGUGAAAACAACUUUUCUCACCCUUACUUCCAACUUUAUCACUAAGUGGCCUUAUAAUUCCAAAUGCGUAAUUUGAUUUUCACUUAUACGCUCAAUUUAUUUUGACGUCUUAUUCUGUACUUCUACGUUUGCUAAUGGAAUAAACAAGGUCUUAAAGUUUGGUUGCAAUUUUUUCUUUUUUAUUUGAACUUCUUAGUUCAUAACUUAAACUUGUUUGUCGAGGGAUUGUGUACUUGUAUUCCAGUGUNAUAUAUCUGNUAAUGUUGUACUCUAAUUCUGUUUUGGUUAGAAAUACCAGCAGAGAUUAUAUGUGNUGUCAGUUNCCACUGUGGCUGAAUUCAUUGCAUAUUCGUGAUUGUAAUU